This 824-nucleotide long non-coding RNA is filed under the name Nicotiana tabacum (common tobacco). Its description in RNAcentral is "long non-coding RNA (NTAB_LNC008765)". The record is from RNAcentral. Lineage: Eukaryota; Viridiplantae; Streptophyta; Magnoliopsida; Solanales; Solanaceae.
AUCACCAUCAACCUUGUCACUCUCAAUUAAACUUCUUUUCCUCUUGGAAAAUGAAGUAGAGAAUUCCUCUAUAACCUCUUCUUUUAUCUACUUAGGAAAUAUUAAAUUCCUACCUACACCAUUACUAUUUGAAACACAUGCCAUUGCCUUCUCAUCAUCAUUGUCGCUAAUGAGAAGAACAAUUAAAGUCACACUCUACCGGGUAUCGUGUCUUAGUUAUUCUUGGUGGAAGUUCCAUUGCAUGUCUAAUAAAGUCAUCAACCCCUUCUACAAAAUCCUCCCACAAUCUAAAAUUCUAAUACAUAAACCAAAAUUUCAAUUCAUAUCCUAAAGGUUCAAUUCAUAUCCACAAAAGUUCGAGUCAUAUCCUAAAAUUUCAAUUUAUAAACUAAAAUUCCAAUGAAAACAAAAAUUCAAUUCAUAUCCUAAAGGUUCAACUCAUAUCCACAAAAGUUCAAGUCAUAUCUUAAAAUUUCAAUUUAUAAACUAAAAUUCCAAUACAUAAACCAAAAUUUCAAUUCAUAUCUUAAAGGUUCAACUCAUAUCCACAAAAGUUCAAGUCAUAUCCUAAAAUUUCAAUUUAUAAUCUAAAACUCCAAUACAUAAACCAAAAUUUCAAUCCAUAUCCUAAAGGUUCAAGUCAUAUCCACAAAAGUUCAAGUCAUAUCCUAAAAAUUUCAAGUCAUAUCCUAAAAUUUCAAUUUAUAAACUAAAAUUCCAAUAAAUAAACCAAAAUUUCAAUUCAUAUCCACAAAAGUUCAAGUCAUAUCCUAAAUUUCUAUUUAUAAACUAAAAUUCCAAUAUAUAAACCAAAAUUUCAAUUC